UAGGGAAUCUUCGGCAAUGGACGAAAGUCUGACCGAGCAACGCCGCGUGAGUGAAGAAGGUUUUCGGAUCGUAAAACUCUGUUGUUAGAGAAGAACAAGGGUGAGAGUAACUGUUCACCCCUUGACGGUAUCUAACCAGAAAGCCACGGCUAAUUACGUGCCAG
This 164-nucleotide ribosomal RNA is filed under the name uncultured bacterium. RNAcentral describes it as "partial 16S ribosomal RNA". It matches the Rfam family "Bacterial small subunit ribosomal RNA", at positions 355 to 511 of the family's 1533-position model. The record is from RNAcentral.